RNAcentral lists this ribosomal RNA (508 nucleotides) under uncultured bacterium. RNAcentral's name for it is "partial 16S ribosomal RNA". It matches the Rfam family "Bacterial small subunit ribosomal RNA", at positions 30 to 523 of the family's 1533-position model. The record is from RNAcentral.
AUUGAACGCUGGCGGCAUGCCUUACACAUGCAAGUCGAACGGCAGCGGGGGAGAAGCUUGCUUUUCCUGCCGGCGAGUGGCGAACGGGUGGGUAAUACAUCGGAACGUGCCCUGUAGUGGGGGAUAACUAGUCGAAAGAUUAGCUAAUACCGCAUACGACCUGAGGGUGAAAGUGGGGGACCGCAAGGCCUCAUGCUAUAGGAGCGGCCGAUGUCUGAUUAGCUAGUUGGUGGGGUAAAGGCUUACCAAGGCGACGAUCAGUAGCUGGUCUGAGAGGACGAUCGGCCACACUGGGACUGAGACACGGCCCAGACUCCUACGGGAGGCAGCAGUGGGGAAUUUUGGACAAUGGGCGAAAGCCUGAUCCAGCAAUGCCGCGUGUGUGAAGAAGGCCUUCGGGUUGUAAAGCACUUUUGUCCGGAAAGAAAUGGCUCUGGUUAAUACCUGGGGUCGAUGACGGUACCGGAAGAAUAAGGACCGGCUAACUACGUGCCAGCCGCCGCGGUAA